UACAGAGGGUGCAAGCGUUAAUCGGAAUUACUGGGCGUAAAGCGCGCGUAGGCGGCUAAUUAAGUCGGGUGUGAAAGCCCCGGGCUCAACCUGGGAAUUGCAUCCGAUACUGCUGUGACUGGAGUCCGGUGAGAGGAGUGCGGAAUUCCUGGUGUAGCGGUGAAAUGCGCAGAUAUCAGGAGGAACACCGGUGGCGAAGGCGGUCUCUGGGCAUGUCCUGACGCUGAGGAGCGAAAGUGUGGGGAGCGAACAGG
RNAcentral lists this ribosomal RNA (254 nucleotides) under uncultured bacterium. Its description in RNAcentral is "partial 16S ribosomal RNA". It matches the Rfam family "Bacterial small subunit ribosomal RNA", at positions 524 to 776 of the family's 1533-position model. The record is from RNAcentral.